RNAcentral lists this long non-coding RNA (1529 nucleotides) under Androctonus crassicauda. The record is from RNAcentral. Lineage: Eukaryota; Metazoa; Arthropoda; Arachnida; Scorpiones; Buthidae.
GUUUACAAUAAAUGAACAAAUUGCAGAAAUAUUAUUAUUAUUAUUUUAUGUGUGUAUUGAUAUCAAAAUCUAUCGUAGGUGUUUUUCUCUACAAUAAAAACAUUGACCUUUCUACUAACUUAUUGUGUAGUGUUAUCAUUUAUCUAAACAAUCGAUGUUUUCGAUAUUAUGGUAUCUAAAAAAAAACUUUUUUAAUGAAUUAAUAAGAAUCAAAGGCAAAAUGAUAUAUUACCUGCUAGUGAAAGACUAGUGUCGCGUCGCAUCCGACAGCGCGGCGUCGCCUAUAACCAUCUUUUUUUGAAAGAAUAUAUGCAUAAGUUCCCAGACCACGAUGUGGAGAUGAUUAGCACGAAUUUUUAAACCAACGAUUCAUGUUAGUCGAUCUCUGCAUCGUGAUCUGGGAAUGUAUGUAUAUAUAUUCAUUAAAAAAUCUCGCUAUUGACGACGCCGCGCUGCCGGAUGCAACGCGACAUACAUUCCACUAGCAGGUAAUCUCUACCAUCUAGCCAAUUAAUGCAUACUUUAUGCCAACAGUUUUUGAAUUUUAAUCUUAAUACAGUAAUUUAGAUUAGUAAGUAAAAAUUUCGGUAUUUUAUUCUUGAAAUUUUAAGAAAUGAUCUCUAUAAUUAAAAUUACGCGGUACCUAAAAGAUGCAUUCACCAAAAAUGAUGACACGAACGUAAUGAAUCAUAAUAAUUGUUGAUCAGUUAGUUCAGUUUUAAUUUUUAAUUAUUUAAAUAAAUAACGAAAACAUUCUUUUGUUAUGAUUUUAAUAUUUUUUACGUAAACAAAAACGUUACACAAAUAAACAUCUACAAAAAUAUUGGAAUAGAAUUGCAGUGAUGUCAAAUUCAGGCAAAAACUGUAUAAGUGGAAAUUAUUUUUCGAUACGAAACGGAUGAUAAUUAAUAUACUUUUUUAAAGUAAAUGUCAUUUUAGUCUUUAAUAGAUGUUUCUUGUGCAUUUUGCGCUAAAUAUUUGCAUAAAGUUGGGCAAAAGGAGUCUUUUUUUGCAUUGUUUUACGCCGCUUUCCAACCAGAGAUUACUAAACUACGGCCAAGAAGAGCAAGUUUUUUGCAAUUUUGGUAUUAUGAGAAUCUUAAAUACUCGUGGGGAUAAAAAAAUCGAUAAAUUUUAUCAAAUAUCACGUUUAUGAACCAUCCUUUUACUGAAACGGUUAUGCAAGAAUAAAAUUAAGAACCUUUUAAAGAAAAUAUUUGUAACCAUUUAUCAAUUAAACCGUCUUGAACCGACAGUUCAAGACAAUUCGACUGACAAAUCCCGAUUUGAAAAUAGUUCAAAUAACUUAUUGUUAAAUUAUCAUUUUAAGGAAUAGCGUGCAUAUUUUAAAUAACUUUUCACACACCAUUAGACUCUCGAAGUAAUCUCUAUUAAAAUUACUAAUUGUAAAUCUGUAUCACUUGAUGAACAAACAUUCUAUGAAUUCUUUAUGUAUGAUUUUUUAUUUCUAUUUAAGAUUGCAAAUUAUGUCCAAUUUAAAUUGGGAAAUUAAAAUAAUUGAACGGGAC